Molecule: ribosomal RNA, 2904 nt
Filed under: Escherichia coli
Lineage: Bacteria; Pseudomonadati; Pseudomonadota; Gammaproteobacteria; Enterobacterales; Enterobacteriaceae
Description: 23S ribosomal RNA
Rfam family: Bacterial large subunit ribosomal RNA
Source: RNAcentral
GGUUAAGCGACUAAGCGUACACGGUGGAUGCCCUGGCAGUCAGAGGCGAUGAAGGACGUGCUAAUCUGCGAUAAGCGUCGGUAAGGUGAUAUGAACCGUUAUAACCGGCGAUUUCCGAAUGGGGAAACCCAGUGUGAUUCGUCACACUAUCAUUAACUGAAUCCAUAGGUUAAUGAGGCGAACCGGGGGAACUGAAACAUCUAAGUACCCCGAGGAAAAGAAAUCAACCGAGAUUCCCCCAGUAGCGGCGAGCGAACGGGGAGGAGCCCAGAGCCUGAAUCAGUGUGUGUGUUAGUGGAAGCGUCUGGAAAGGCGCGCGAUACAGGGUGACAGCCCCGUACACAAAAAUGCACAUGCUGUGAGCUCGAUGAGUAGGGCGGGACACGUGGUAUCCUGUCUGAAUAUGGGGGGACCAUCCUCCAAGGCUAAAUACUCCUGACUGACCGAUAGUGAACCAGUACCGUGAGGGAAAGGCGAAAAGAACCCCGGCGAGGGGAGUGAAAAAGAACCUGAAACCGUGUACGUACAAGCAGUGGGAGCACGCUUAGGCGUGUGACUGCGUACCUUUUGUAUAAUGGGUCAGCGACUUAUAUUCUGUAGCAAGGUUAACCGAAUAGGGGAGCCGAAGGGAAACCGAGUCUUAACUGGGCGUUAAGUUGCAGGGUAUAGACCCGAAACCCGGUGAUCUAGCCAUGGGCAGGUUGAAGGUUGGGUAACACUAACUGGAGGACCGAACCGACUAAUGUUGAAAAAUUAGCGGAUGACUUGUGGCUGGGGGUGAAAGGCCAAUCAAACCGGGAGAUAGCUGGUUCUCCCCGAAAGCUAUUUAGGUAGCGCCUCGUGAAUUCAUCUCCGGGGGUAGAGCACUGUUUCGGCAAGGGGGUCAUCCCGACUUACCAACCCGAUGCAAACUGCGAAUACCGGAGAAUGUUAUCACGGGAGACACACGGCGGGUGCUAACGUCCGUCGUGAAGAGGGAAACAACCCAGACCGCCAGCUAAGGUCCCAAAGUCAUGGUUAAGUGGGAAACGAUGUGGGAAGGCCCAGACAGCCAGGAUGUUGGCUUAGAAGCAGCCAUCAUUUAAAGAAAGCGUAAUAGCUCACUGGUCGAGUCGGCCUGCGCGGAAGAUGUAACGGGGCUAAACCAUGCACCGAAGCUGCGGCAGCGACGCUUAUGCGUUGUUGGGUAGGGGAGCGUUCUGUAAGCCUGUGAAGGUGUGCUGUGAGGCAUGCUGGAGGUAUCAGAAGUGCGAAUGCUGACAUAAGUAACGAUAAAGCGGGUGAAAAGCCCGCUCGCCGGAAGACCAAGGGUUCCUGUCCAACGUUAAUCGGGGCAGGGUGAGUCGACCCCUAAGGCGAGGCCGAAAGGCGUAGUCGAUGGGAAACAGGUUAAUAUUCCUGUACUUGGUGUUACUGCGAAGGGGGGACGGAGAAGGCUAUGUUGGCCGGGCGACGGUUGUCCCGGUUUAAGCGUGUAGGCUGGUUUUCCAGGCAAAUCCGGAAAAUCAAGGCUGAGGCGUGAUGACGAGGCACUACGGUGCUGAAGCAACAAAUGCCCUGCUUCCAGGAAAAGCCUCUAAGCAUCAGGUAACAUCAAAUCGUACCCCAAACCGACACAGGUGGUCAGGUAGAGAAUACCAAGGCGCUUGAGAGAACUCGGGUGAAGGAACUAGGCAAAAUGGUGCCGUAACUUCGGGAGAAGGCACGCUGAUAUGUAGGUGAAGUCCCUCGCGGAUGGAGCUGAAAUCAGUCGAAGAUACCAGCUGGCUGCAACUGUUUAUUAAAAACACAGCACUGUGCAAACACGAAAGUGGACGUAUACGGUGUGACGCCUGCCCGGUGCCGGAAGGUUAAUUGAUGGGGUUAGCGCAAGCGAAGCUCUUGAUCGAAGCCCCGGUAAACGGCGGCCGUAACUAUAACGGUCCUAAGGUAGCGAAAUUCCUUGUCGGGUAAGUUCCGACCUGCACGAAUGGCGUAAUGAUGGCCAGGCUGUCUCCACCCGAGACUCAGUGAAAUUGAACUCGCUGUGAAGAUGCAGUGUACCCGCGGCAAGACGGAAAGACCCCGUGAACCUUUACUAUAGCUUGACACUGAACAUUGAGCCUUGAUGUGUAGGAUAGGUGGGAGGCUUUGAAGUGUGGACGCCAGUCUGCAUGGAGCCGACCUUGAAAUACCACCCUUUAAUGUUUGAUGUUCUAACGUGGACCCGUAAUCCGGGUUGCGGACAGUGUCUGGUGGGUAGUUUGACUGGGGCGGUCUCCUCCUAAAGAGUAACGGAGGAGCACGAAGGUUGGCUAAUCCUGGUCGGACAUCAGGAGGUUAGUGCAAUGGCAUAAGCCAGCUUGACUGCGAGCGUGACGGCGCGAGCAGGUGCGAAAGCAGGUCAUAGUGAUCCGGUGGUUCUGAAUGGAAGGGCCAUCGCUCAACGGAUAAAAGGUACUCCGGGGAUAACAGGCUGAUACCGCCCAAGAGUUCAUAUCGACGGCGGUGUUUGGCACCUCGAUGUCGGCUCAUCACAUCCUGGGGCUGAAGUAGGUCCCAAGGGUAUGGCUGUUCGCCAUUUAAAGUGGUACGCGAGCUGGGUUUAGAACGUCGUGAGACAGUUCGGUCCCUAUCUGCCGUGGGCGCUGGAGAAUUGAGGGGGGCUGCUCCUAGUACGAGAGGACCGGAGUGGACGCAUCACUGGUGUUCGGGUUGUCAUGCCAAUGGCACUGCCCGGUAGCUAAAUGCGGAAGAGAUAAGUGCUGAAAGCAUCUAAGCACGAAACUUGCCCCGAGAUGAGUUCUCCCUGACUCCUUGAGAGUCCUGAAGGAACGUUGAAGACGACGACGUUGAUAGGCCGGGUGUGUAAGCGCAGCGAUGCGUUGAGCUAACCGGUACUAAUGAACCGUGAGGCUUAACCUU